Molecule: long non-coding RNA, 282 nt
Organism: Polyodon spathula (Mississippi paddlefish)
Lineage: Eukaryota; Metazoa; Chordata; Actinopteri; Acipenseriformes; Polyodontidae
Exons: 3
Source: RefSeq, a predicted model, not a curated record
CCUUGGGAACAGGACGCAGAAACUCACAGCAAAAGCAACAGACAUGACAGGCUAGAGCAAUCAGAGCCGGUGCCAGGUAUUCAGCACCACAGUAACCUCCCAAGGCAACUCGUCACAUGUACUUUCAACUUACCAUUGGAACAACAACAAAACAUCAGCUUGGAAACCAUUUUUAUCGUCGGCCCAGUCAGGAAUUGAGAAAUUGACAUCUUCUCGUACUGAAGUGAGCAUCUAAGAGCUUUUAAACCAAAUGCUUUCAUUCUGAAAAAAUCCACUGAGGUG